RNAcentral lists this ribosomal RNA (468 nucleotides) under uncultured bacterium. Its description in RNAcentral is "partial 16S ribosomal RNA". It matches the Rfam family "Bacterial small subunit ribosomal RNA", at positions 29 to 507 of the family's 1533-position model. The record is from RNAcentral.
UACGAACGCUGGCGGCGUGCUUAACACAUGCAAGUCGAACGGAAAGGCCCUGCUUUUGUGGGGUGCUCGAGUGGCGAACGGGUGAGUAACACGUGAGUAACCUGCCCUGGACUUUGGGAUAACUUCAGGAAACUGGGGCUAAUACCGGAUAGGAGCUCCUGCUGCAUGGUGGGGGUUGGAAAGUUUCGGCGGUUGGGGAUGGACUCGCGGCUUAUCAGCUUGUUGGUGGGGUAGUGGCUUACCAAGGCUUUGACGGGUAGCCGGCCUGAGAGGGUGACCGGCCACAUUGGGACUGGGAUACGGCCCAGACUCCUACGGGAGGCAGCAGUGGGGAAUAUUGCACAAUGGGCGGAAGCCUGAUGCAGCAACGCCGCGUGCGGGAUGACGGCCUUCGGGUUGUAAACCGCUUUCGCCUGUGACGAAGCGUGAGUGACGGUAAUGGGUAAAGAAGCACCGGCUAACUACGUG